RNAcentral lists this ribosomal RNA (281 nucleotides) under uncultured bacterium. Its description in RNAcentral is "partial 16S ribosomal RNA". It matches the Rfam family "Bacterial small subunit ribosomal RNA", at positions 524 to 788 of the family's 1533-position model. The record is from RNAcentral.
UACAGAGGUGGCAAGCGUUUGUUCGGAAUUACUGGGCGUAAAGGGCGCGUAGGCGGCCUUUUUUUUUUUUUUUUUCUAAGCAGACGUGAAAUCCCCGCUUAACCUGGGAACUGCGUCUGAUACUGGGGAGGCUUGAGUAUGGGAGAGGGAUGUAGAAUUCCAGGUGUAGCGGUGAAAUGCGUAGAUAUCUGGAGGAAUACCGGUGGCGAAGGCGGCAUCCUGGACCUAACUGACGCUGAGGCGCGGAAAGCUAGGGGAGCAAACGGGGGAUUAGAAAACCC